UACUUCGUGAAUCAUCAGUCAGUACCCUAA
Molecule: non-coding RNA, 30 nt
Filed under: Homo sapiens (human)
Lineage: Eukaryota; Metazoa; Chordata; Mammalia; Primates; Hominidae
Source: RNAcentral